GAUGAACGCUGGCGGCGUGCCUAAUACAUGCAAGUCGAGCGAACGGACGAGAAGCUUGCUUCUCUGAUGUUAGCGGCGGACGGGUGAGUAACACGUGGAUAACCUACCUAUAAGACUGGGAUAACUUCGGGAAACCGGAGCUAAUACCGGAUAAUAUUUUGAACCGCAUGGUUCAAAGGUGAAAGACGGUCUUGCUGUCACUUAUGGAUGGAUCCGCGCUGCAUUAGCUAGUUGGUAAGGUAACGGCUUACCAAGGCAACGAUGCAUAGCCGACCUGAGAGGGUGAUCGGCCACACUGGAACUGAGACACGGUCCAGACUCCUACGGGAGGCAGCAGUAGGGAAUCUUCCGCAAUGGGCGAAAGCCUGACGGAGCAACGCCGCGUGAGUGAUGAAGGUCUUCGGAUCGUAAAACUCUGUUAUUAGGGAAGAACAUAUGUGUAAGUAACUGUGCACAUCUUGACGGUACCUAAUCAGAAAGCCACGGCUAACUACGUG
RNAcentral lists this ribosomal RNA (497 nucleotides) under uncultured bacterium. RNAcentral's name for it is "partial 16S ribosomal RNA". It matches the Rfam family "Bacterial small subunit ribosomal RNA", at positions 28 to 507 of the family's 1533-position model. The record is from RNAcentral.